This 69-nucleotide transfer RNA is filed under the name Ictidomys tridecemlineatus (thirteen-lined ground squirrel). RNAcentral's name for it is "Spermophilus tridecemlineatus (thirteen-lined ground squirrel) tRNA". It matches the Rfam family "tRNA". Rfam says of the family: Transfer RNA (tRNA) molecules are approximately 80 nucleotides in length. Their secondary structure includes four short double-helical elements and three loops (D, anti-codon, and T loops). Lineage: Eukaryota; Metazoa; Chordata; Mammalia; Rodentia; Sciuridae. The record is from Rfam by way of RNAcentral.
GGGGCUGUGGUUCAGUGGUAGAGCACUUGCCUAGCAUGCAUGAGGCACCAGGUUCGAUCCCUGGCACCA